Long non-coding RNA from Scylla paramamosain (green mud crab), 549 nucleotides. RefSeq lists it as uncharacterized. The record is from RefSeq and is a predicted model, not a curated record. The transcript has 4 exons. Lineage: Eukaryota; Metazoa; Arthropoda; Malacostraca; Decapoda; Portunidae.
ACAAGGCAAGGAAGAACAAACGAGUGAUCCAGUUUAUCAUGUAAUGUGUCAUCUAGCGAAAGGCAGACUCGAAUCCCUGCCAGCGGACCGACUGAUCUGCCAGUGUACCAGCUCAAGGGCGCCAUGCAGAAUGUUAACUGGCCGUCACCUGCCUUGCUGACUGGCGGAGAUGAAGGCUCCCUGCUGGAUGUCUUGACCCCCUCCUCCUGCUGGUGUUGCCCGCCACGCCUGAUAACUGCCGCCGCCUUCACGAUGCUUCCUCGGCUCUCCCACAAGCUUCCUCCUCGACCACCACCACCACCACCACCCACUCAUCACUGACUCUCAAGGAAGUGAUGUCCAGCAGCGGCUCGGAUAUCCGGCAGGUCAGGGUCAGGUGGGUCGGGGCGAGGUCAGGUGGGGUCGCGGCGAGGGUGAGGAGGUCAGGUGGGCUGCGGCGGUAAUUGUUCGGUGACGAGGCUGUUACUUGUGGCAGGUCGUUAAGGUGGCGCCGGGGGUCGUGUGUCGUCUGUCCCUUGCUGCCUGCCCUCUCCCCCCUCUCUUCUUCCU